GACGAACGCUGGCGGCGUGCUUAACACAUGCAAGUCGAGCGAGAAAGCCCCUUCGGGGGUGAGUACAGCGGCGAACGGGUGAGUAACACGUGGGCAACCUGCCCUAGAGACUGGGAUAACGUUCCGAAAGGGACGCUAAUACCGGAUAACGCGUGAUCUGCCAAGUGGAUCACGCCAAAUGGUAGCUUAGGCUUCUGCUCUGGGAUGGGCCCGCGCCGGAUUAGCUUGUUGGUGAGGUAACGGCUCACCAAGGCGACGAUCCGUAGCUGGUCUGAGAGGACGAUCAGCCACACUGGGACUGAGACACGGCCCAGACUCCUACGGGAGGCAG
Molecule: ribosomal RNA, 331 nt
Filed under: uncultured Actinomycetes bacterium
Lineage: Bacteria; Bacillati; Actinomycetota; Actinomycetes
Description: bacterial SSU rRNA
Rfam family: Bacterial small subunit ribosomal RNA
Source: RNAcentral